RNAcentral lists this transfer RNA (77 nucleotides) under Allobosea sp. ANAM02. RNAcentral's name for it is "Bosea sp. ANAM02 tRNA-Ile". It matches the Rfam family "tRNA". From Rfam's summary of the family: Transfer RNA (tRNA) molecules are approximately 80 nucleotides in length. Their secondary structure includes four short double-helical elements and three loops (D, anti-codon, and T loops). Lineage: Bacteria; Pseudomonadati; Pseudomonadota; Alphaproteobacteria; Hyphomicrobiales; Alloboseaceae. The record is from RNAcentral.
GCACCGCUAGCUUAGCGGUCCAGAGCACCGAGAGUAAUGACCUCGGGGGCAGGGGUUCAAUUCCCCUGCGGUGCACC